GAUGAACGCUGGCGGCGCGCUUAACACAUGCAAGUCGAGCGAGAACCAGCCCUUCGGGGCUGGGGACAGCGGCGAACGGGUGAGUAACACGUGGGUAAUCUGCCCUCGGCAUCGGGAUAGCCCGGGGAAACCCGGAUUAAUACCGAAUAGCCUCCGGAGCCUGCGGGCGCCGGAGAAAAGGUAGCUUCGGCCUCUGGCCGAGGCUGAGCCCGCGGCGGAUUAGCUUGUUGGCGGGGUAACGGCCCACCAAGGCGACGAUCCGUAGCUGGUCUGAGAGGACGAUCAGCCACACUGGGACUGAGACACGGCCCAGACUCCUACGGGAGGCAGCAGUGGGGAAUCUUGCGCAAAUGCGGGAAACCGUGACGCAGCGACGCCGCGUGGGGGAAGAAGGCCUUCGGGUUGUAAACCUCUUUCAGGAGGGACGAAGCUACUCGGGUUAAUAGCCCAGAGGGUGACGGUACCUCCAGAAGAAGCCCCGGCUAACUACGUGCCAGCCGCCGCGGUAA
Molecule: ribosomal RNA, 509 nt
Filed under: uncultured bacterium
Lineage: Bacteria
Description: partial 16S ribosomal RNA
Rfam family: Bacterial small subunit ribosomal RNA
Source: RNAcentral